This 86-nucleotide transfer RNA is filed under the name Candidatus Peregrinibacteria bacterium. RNAcentral's name for it is "tRNA-Leu". It matches the Rfam family "tRNA". Rfam says of the family: Transfer RNA (tRNA) molecules are approximately 80 nucleotides in length. Lineage: Bacteria; Candidatus Peregrinibacteriota. The record is from RNAcentral.
GCCGCUGUGGUGGAACGGUAGACACGGGGGACUUAAAAUCCCCUGCCCUCACGGGCUUCUCGGUUCGAUUCCGAGCAGCGGCACCA